Long non-coding RNA from Zingiber officinale, 316 nucleotides. RefSeq lists it as uncharacterized. The transcript has 2 exons. The record is from RefSeq and is a predicted model, not a curated record. NCBI's taxonomy places the organism in Eukaryota, Viridiplantae, Streptophyta, Magnoliopsida, Zingiberales, Zingiberaceae.
UGACCCUAAGCCGCGGGAUUUUAGUGGGGUGAAGCUUCUUCUUCACAAUUGCCUUGACAACAAUCCAUGGGACCUCACUGGUUUUGUGGAUUUGAUCUUGGAGCAGACAACUGUUGGUACAAUUGUCAAAUUGGAUGAGCAAGAUGAAGUAGGGCAUGUAGAUGAUGAUGAUGGUGGUCCUUUUGGCAUCAUCAGUGUUAUUAAUCUGCAAAGAUACCAGCAUCACAGAUGAAUUAAGUAACUCAAAGGGUUCUUGCUUGAAGCAUGUACUGAGGAAUCCACAAACAAAAAGAUGAAGACAUAUUUGGAAUGACAA